This is a long non-coding RNA of Siniperca chuatsi (mandarin fish), 1270 nucleotides long. RefSeq lists it as uncharacterized. The transcript has 3 exons. The record is from RefSeq and is a predicted model, not a curated record. NCBI's taxonomy places the organism in Eukaryota, Metazoa, Chordata, Actinopteri, Centrarchiformes, Sinipercidae.
GUAACACUGCCGGCUCAGACGCCCUGUGUAUGCUCACUAGAAGGAAUUUAUCAGUUUUUCUAACGUUGUUUUGGUGUUGUAGCGUGGAUGGUGAACUCUGAUAACGCUAGUGUGAUGGAAAAACCUUUGACAGGCCCGCUGACUGUGGCUUGUCGCUGGCUGGUCUCACACAUCAUUCACUAAUGAGUGAGUGACAUCUGCUGGGGGCCUGUGUGACAGAGCACUGUCACCCUGCCUGACACUGGGAAAACAUGUCUAUUCAUCCGUCCAUCCAUCCAUCCAUCCAUCCUGCUUCUGUCCCACAGCCGCAGCAGGCAUGUUGUAAAAUGUAAAAGUCGGUUGGGGUGGAGGGUGUGCAGAGAAAGAUGGCAGCGCCUGCCGGUCCAACCCAAACAGCCUUCCUCCUUCCUGACUCCCUCUCCUCUCCCCUCCUCUCUGUGGAAACCAUCUCUUAAUACAUCCUGAGAAAUUGAGGUUAAGAGGGGAUAUCCAGGGGGUUAUCGGCAUCGCAGCGCUCAGCGUGGGGAGAUUGAUGGUCUUAAGAGGCCGGGGUGCCGUGGUCAUAUUCAUAUGGUAAUUCCUCCCUAUUGUCCCUGCGGAAAUCGAGGCUUUCUUUAAUCUGAGAGGGAGGCCUCCUCUCCCUGUCUCUGUUGAAACGAAGCCUAGCGUCACUUUAUCAUCUCCACAGAUGCUGAUGAUGACGAUGGGUGGCCGAUGACGUCUGGAUGGAUGUAUCACAGUAACAUGUUUUGUGUGUGUGUAAAUUGAAAAAGGAGAAGAGGUGGGAGCAUAGGAUAAUGUUAGGAUAAUGUUAGAGGGUGUUUUGGGGAGGGGGACAUGGUGAAUAUAAUGAUAACUCUAUACUGGAUGUUAUUUUAAUCCCACUUCCUCCGAGAAAAAGGAAAGAUAACUUCAAUCCAUUUGUGACUAAGAAGCAUUCAGUGCUGAUAAUUUCAACUCCUGAAGUCCAAUUCUGAGACAAUAAUCCUCUGUGAUAAAGGCAUUUUGGUUUUACACUUGGGAUUGUAUGAAUGCAUCAUACCUUUUUAUUUUGUUAUCUUUUUUGUUAUGCUUGUAUUUUUCAAAGUGGCAUAUUUGCUCAGAUUGAGCAAACAGAUUUUGGGGAAGAGAAAAGUUUUAUUAUGGCGUUUUAUCAAAAUAAGAAUGAAAGCCUCAUCUUUUAAACCCUCCAUCAAAUCAACCUCUAAAGCUGAAAUCCACAACUUUACACAUGUUUUUGUCCCGGUAUGUAUUAACAAUAAAAAAAUAU